Pangasianodon gigas (Mekong giant catfish) is the source of this 83-nucleotide non-coding RNA. The record is from the annotation of a GenBank genome assembly. NCBI's taxonomy places the organism in Eukaryota, Metazoa, Chordata, Actinopteri, Siluriformes, Pangasiidae.
GCAGUCGUGGCCUAAUGGUUAGAGAGUCGGACUUGUAACCCGAAGGUGAACCUGACUCGUGGGUUCGAGUCUCAGGUCCGGCA